UACGUAGGUGACCAGCGUUGUCCGGAUUUACUGGGCGUAAAGAGCGCGCAGGCGGUCGUUCAAGUCGAGUGUGAAAGCCCCCGGCUCAACUGGGGAGGGUCACUCGAUACUGAUCGACUUGAAGGCAGGAGAGGGAAGCAGAAUUCCCGGUGUAGUGGUGAAAUGCGUAGAGAUGCGGAGGAACACCGAUGGCGAAGGCAGCCCCCUGGGCUGACACUGACGCUCAGGCACGAAAGCGUGGGGAGCAAACAGG
RNAcentral lists this ribosomal RNA (253 nucleotides) under uncultured bacterium. Its description in RNAcentral is "partial 16S ribosomal RNA". It matches the Rfam family "Bacterial small subunit ribosomal RNA", at positions 524 to 776 of the family's 1533-position model. The record is from RNAcentral.